RNAcentral lists this ribosomal RNA (376 nucleotides) under uncultured bacterium. RNAcentral describes it as "bacterial SSU rRNA". It matches the Rfam family "Bacterial small subunit ribosomal RNA", at positions 524 to 898 of the family's 1533-position model. The record is from RNAcentral.
UACGUAGGGUGCUAGCGUUACUCGGAAUCAUUGGGCGUAAAGGGUGCGUAGGCGGAAUUAUAAGUCAGAUGUGAAAGCCUUGGGCUCAACCCAAGAAGUGCAUUUGAUACUGUAAUUCUAGAGUACAGGAGAGGAAGGUGGAAUUCCCGGUGUAGAGGUGAAAUCCGUAGAUAUCGGGAGGAAUACCAGAGGCGAAGGCGGCCUUCUGGACUGACACUGACGCUGAGGCACGAAAGCGUGGGGAGCAAACAGGAUUAGAUACCCUGGUAGUCCACGCCCUAAACGAUGGUUACUAGAUGAGGUGGGAUUUGACCCCUGCCGUAUCGAAGCUAACGCGAUAAGUAACCCGCCUGGGGAGUACGGCCGCAAGGCUAAA